RNAcentral lists this ribosomal RNA (237 nucleotides) under uncultured bacterium. RNAcentral describes it as "partial 16S ribosomal RNA". It matches the Rfam family "Bacterial small subunit ribosomal RNA", at positions 99 to 334 of the family's 1533-position model. The record is from RNAcentral.
CGCACGGGUGAGUAACACGUAUCCAACCUGCCGUCUACUCUUGGCCAGCCUUCUGAAAGGAAGAUUAAUCCAGGAUGGCAUCAUGAGUUCACAUGUCCGCAUGAUUAAAGGUAUUUUCCGGUAGACGAUGGGGAUGCGUUCCAUUAGAUAGUAGGCGGGGUAACGGCCCACCAAGGCGACGAUCAGUAGGGGUUCUGAGAGGAAGGUCCCCCACAUUGGAACUGAGACACGGUCCAA